Lycium barbarum (goji berry) is the source of this 1838-nucleotide long non-coding RNA. RefSeq lists it as uncharacterized. The record is from RefSeq and is a predicted model, not a curated record. Lineage: Eukaryota; Viridiplantae; Streptophyta; Magnoliopsida; Solanales; Solanaceae. The transcript is spliced from 3 exons.
CGGCAGAGGCGGCGGCAGCGGAGGAGGAGGAAUUAGAGAAGAUGAAGCCGCAGACGCGUUAUUUCCACGUAACAAAAGGUCGAGUCGAGGAUACAGCGGCCACGAAGAAGCAUCAGCAGCAGUAGCAGAUUCCGAUCGGGAUCCAAUAUUGGCGGUUAAUUUCAUCUAAAUGUUCCUGUCUUUAGGACUCUUAAGCCCAUUUGCUUGCGGCCAUGAACACUUUGUUGAAUUUAUCAAUCUUUUCAACCAUUGCGUCUCCAACAGUAUAAAGGAUCAAGUCACGGUAGUAACGUUGCGAGGCACAAAUACAAGGUUGUAUGAAUCUUUAUUCUAGAUGGUUGACGUAAAUACUUUUCGCAGUUCCCAUAAUCUUUUUACAUACUCUUUGUGGAUUUAUAUAUAAGGGGAUCAAGACUGUUGAAGUGUGAAUAUAGCAGUUGCAUAUUAACAUCUUAUCUAAUUCCUCUCGAUGAAAUAACUCUCUUGUUGUCUCGUAUAAAGGUUCUUAUGCAAAUUUUGUCUUGAAUCGAACGACUUUUGCAAUGCUUUAUAACCUAAGAGAUAAGACAUAAUGGCACGAAAUUGGACAACCAUACUCUUAAACAAUACAAGGCAAUCAAAAGAGAACAUAUAGAGAAGAAGCUUAAAGAUAUGUCCGAUGUACAUUCUUCGUAAAAUGAUCGGAAUGCUCUUAGUGGUGAAAAGAAGUGAGUUAUAUGUCGAAGUUAAAUAAUGCUUCAUGAAAUUAUAGGUUCAUAAUAUAAAUCUAGAGUUCCCCAAGUGACUUUCUUCUUUAAUUUUUAGGGCAUUGAAUCUUAAAUUUCUGGUAAUGAUUUAUUUCAAAUUCAAUGGUUAAAUUCUUUGUAUGUUCAAUUUUUCGCUUCCCCUACAAUUUACUUAUUUCUUAAAUAUUUUUCAUCCAUCCUUUAGCCUUAGAUUUUUAUAUAUCAAGUUUUGCAAAGUUCCGAGCUUGUAUUUUUAUUUCUUUGAGAAAUGAAUGAAAGAUGUUUUUAGUUUUUCAAAAGCAUACUUUAGUUAAUUUUCCUAAUCAAGUAUUCGAAAAAUAUUAUUUUCUAAAUUUCAAGUAGUUCCGUGACCGCGCGAAGAGCGAGUAAAUUCACUAGUUAAAGCAUAAAUCAGACAAAAAACACUGUAAACUGAAAACGCUAUAUUGAGAAGAAAAAAAUUUGGGAUCCAAUUCACUAAUCUCUGUGCUGGUCCUCUCUAAAGCAAUUGAGUUUCCAUAAAACUCUAUGGAACUAAAAGAUAUCUUUUAUUAUUUUAUCAUUUUUCAUUUUGUCCUAAUUCCUAAGAGUGGUAGUGUAUUUGUGGCCUAUGAAAGGUAAAAGAGAAAAACUGAAAGAGGUAAGUAUGGAAAUUUUAGCCGUUUGGACAACCUUUAGGAAAAGUAUUUUGAGAAUUUUGUUUGGACAAUUCAAAGUUUUUGACAGAUGUGUGAGUAUUAUGUGAGGGAAGUAAAAACUUUUCACUGAAAAAUAUUGUGGAAAAAGCUAUAAACUUUUCAGACAACAUGAGAUGGGAGUAAUAAGAAUUUUCAAAGAUUGAGAAAACUUCUGAAAAACAAUCUCUAGAAUAAUACAAAAAGAUUAUCUAAUGAGCUCCUACACAAUUUAGGUUUGAUAUCCCUUUCAUUUUUUUUUUCCUUUUAAAAGUUUUUUGCACUCUCCUCAAUGAUUUUCUCUUCCUUUUGCCCACUGGCCAAUGCGCUUUCGUCAUUCCAACUUAUUAGCUGCUCCUUUUUUACUUUUAGGGCCCUUUCCACUCUCCUUUUCAACCUUUUUGCUAAUUCUCCACCGUUUUGCUGACUUUUCACGUAC